GUUUGCACUCAUCGGGGAAGGAUGAGAAGCUUCGACCAAGGUUCGACUCGAGCGCCAGCGAGAGAGCGUUGCCGCAGGCAACGACCCGAAGGGCGAAGCGCGCAGCGCUGAGUAAUCCUUCCCCCACCACCA
This 132-nucleotide small RNA is filed under the name Escherichia coli. Its description in RNAcentral is "RtT sRNA". It matches the Rfam family "RtT RNA". Rfam says of the family: This family represents a bacterial cis-regulatory element known as RtT RNA. The exact function of RtT is unknown although it is thought that it may be involved in changing the cellular response in relation to amino acid starvation. Lineage: Bacteria; Pseudomonadati; Pseudomonadota; Gammaproteobacteria; Enterobacterales; Enterobacteriaceae. The record is from RNAcentral.